GCGGCAGGCCUAACACAUGCAAGUCGAGCGGUAACAGAAAGUAGCUUGCUACUUUGCUGACGAGCGGCGGACGGGUGAGUAAUGCUUGGGAACAUGCCUURRGGUGGGGGACAACAGUUGGAAACGACUGCUAAUACCGCAUAAUGUCUACGGACCAAAGGGGGCUUCGGCUCUCGCCUUUAGAUUGGCCCAAGUGGGAUUAGCUAGUUGGUGAGGUAAUGGCUCACCAAGGCGACGAUCCCUAGCUGGUUUGAGAGGAUGAUCAGCCACACUGGGACUGAGACACGGCCCAGACUCCUACGGGAGGCAGCAGUGGGGAAUAUUGCACAAUGGGCGCAAGCCUGAUGCAGCCAUGCCGCGUGUGUGAAGAAGGCCUUCGGGUUGUAAAGCACUUUCAGUCAGGAGGAAAGCGUGGUGGUUAAUACCCAUCAUGUGUGACGUUACUGACAGAAGAAGCACCGGCUAACUCCGUGCCAGCAGCCGCGGUAAUACGGAGGGUGCGAGCGUUAAUCGGAAUUACUGGGCGUAAAGCGUACGCAGGCGGUUUGUUAAGCGAGAUGUGAAAGCCCCGGGCUCAACCUGGGAACUGCAUUUCGAACUGGCAAACUAGAGUGUGAUAGAGGGUGGUAGAAUUUCAGGUGUAGCGGUGAAAUGCGUAGAGAUCUGAAGGAAUACCGAUGGCGAAGGCAGCCACCUGGGUCAACACUGACGUCAUGUACGAAAGCGUGGGGAGCAAACGGGAUUAGAUACCCCGGUAGUCCACGCCGUAAACGAUGUCUACUAGAAGCUCGGAGCCUCGGUUCUGUUUU
Molecule: ribosomal RNA, 809 nt
Filed under: Pseudoalteromonas sp. H4
Lineage: Bacteria; Pseudomonadati; Pseudomonadota; Gammaproteobacteria; Alteromonadales; Pseudoalteromonadaceae
Description: bacterial SSU rRNA
Rfam family: Bacterial small subunit ribosomal RNA
Source: RNAcentral